Molecule: long non-coding RNA, 863 nt
Filed under: Equus caballus (horse)
Lineage: Eukaryota; Metazoa; Chordata; Mammalia; Perissodactyla; Equidae
Description: lncRNA (ENSECAG00000057733.1)
Source: RNAcentral
GUGUAAAUGGAUGGCUUAGAGAUAAAAUGGCAGCGAAUUUCCAAGAGGGCAAGAAACCAGUAAUCCUAAAGACCUAUCAAAGUAGAGGGAUCUCAGAAACUUACCGAACCUUUUCUUACGUUCCUCUGAAAAAAAAAUAGCAAAGUCCAAUGUCAAUUUCACAGGAUGGAAACAUGAAAACAACUUCAAAUUUCUUAAAAUUCAGUGUCUAAAAUUAUCACUUUGAAGGUGUAACUGACCUCACUCUCAGAAACACACUCACAGACACACACACAGAAAGAGACAUACACAGUGGCACAGGUAAACAGCAGAAUACAUCACAGGAACUUACCUUUGUCCUGUUCAGUCUCCGCUAAAAAUAAAGAAAGAAAGGAACAAUUUAUUGCAAAGGAAGGUACAAUGCAAGGAUGUGAGGAGCACGGACAUUUGAAACCCUUUUAUAGUAUACUCUGUGAUGCAAAUUGACCCAUAUUUGUGAGAAUCAGAACCUCAAGUUUUCAAAGGACAUCUCACCCAUCAGAGACAUAUAGUUGUUUACCAUCCCUCCAUUCCUUGGUGCAAAAGGAAUUAAGAUAGGAAAGGAAACCAUGAGAGGAGGAACGAUAGGACUUCCUCUACAAUUAGCAAUAUCAAUCCGUCCUCUUCUGUCAGACUGACACAUUUUUCAGAACACGAUGCAGACAUGCACAACUACUUGAGACAGGGACUCCAAAAGUGAUGAGGAAGGAGACAGCAAAGGGACCCAUCUGUCCCAAUCUCUAUCUGGACCAGUAGUCAUAUGACACGUGCUGUGUACAUUGAAGAGAUAAAUUUCCAAAUUCCAUUGCAAAGAAAACAAGAGUAUAACUGGAAAACGUCAUUGG